GCAAGUCAAGAAUAUAACGUUUUGCACCUGAAUUACUUUUGAUUUUCGGAAAUUGAAAUAUUUUACCUUCGCCGAUGACCUCACUUUAUAACUGGAGUGAAAUCUCAGUAAGAAACCCCAGUAAGUAGAANNNNNNNNNNNNNNNNNNNNUGGACUGGACUGGACAGUUGGACUGGACUGGACAGUUGGACUGGACUGGACAGUUGGACUGGACUGGACAGUUGGACUGGACUGGACUGUUGGACUGGACUGAUUUUUACAUUUUCUCUAUUCUUGACUUGCACGUCACCCGCCAUGUCAGAUGGCAUGGCACAAAAGAAUAUUUUAUCACAGAAUAGAUAUACCAUGUCAUGUCUAUUUUGUGAUUUUAUCGAUCGGAAAAUUGUCUGGUGUGUACCAGGAGGAGAUUGGUUGCAAGUCAAGAAUAUAACGUUUUGCACCUGAAUUACUUUUGAUUUUCGGAAAUUGAAAUAUUUUACCUUCGCCGAUGACCUCACUUUAUAACUGGAGUGAAAUCUCAG
RNAcentral lists this long non-coding RNA (521 nucleotides) under Paramuricea clavata. The record is from RNAcentral. Lineage: Eukaryota; Metazoa; Cnidaria; Anthozoa; Malacalcyonacea; Plexauridae.